UGCCAGCCGCCGCGGUAAUACGGAGGGUGCAAGCGUUGUUCGGAAUCAUUGGGCGUAAAGCGGGUGUAGGCGGCUUGGCAAGUCGAGUGUGAAAUCCCUGGGCCCAACCCAGGAACUGCACUCGAAACUGCCUCGCUAGAGUCCCGGAGAGGGUGGCGGAAUUCCCGGUGUAGAGGUGAAAUUCGUAGAUAUCGGGAGGAACACCAGUGGCGAAGGUGGCCACCUGGACGGUGACUGACGCUCAGACCCGAAAGCGUGGGGAGCAAACAGGAUUAGAUA
This 279-nucleotide ribosomal RNA is filed under the name uncultured bacterium. RNAcentral describes it as "partial 16S ribosomal RNA". It matches the Rfam family "Bacterial small subunit ribosomal RNA", at positions 506 to 784 of the family's 1533-position model. The record is from RNAcentral.